CCAGCUCCAUCGAGAGGAGAGACCGGGUCGACGAGAGCGAACCAAGAAACUGAAUCGAAGCGGGACCACCCCAGUGACAGAGAACUCUAUCGUGGCACGCCCCGAGGGUGUCAGCCGCUGCAGCGGAAAGGAUAGCGGCCACACGUACAGCCACGCACAGACACACACAGACACACAGACACACAUACAUUUUCGACGCGUCUAUCAACGCGGCACCCGUUCUUCCGCUUUUUCGCUCUCUGCGGCUUGUGUCGCAGACGAACGCGCCUUGCGCAUCACAGAUCACGUAGAAGAGCAUGCGAUAACAGACGGUCACUGACGCACUCACGGACGUACUCGAACACGGAAGCCAAGCGCAACGAACAAGACUUGACCGGCUCGGCCUUUUCUCUCCUCCGUGCUGAGAGGGGGCAACAGCGGCGAGUCCAGCGUCUUCCAUUGCACACACCGCUUUCCAUCGCACCUGGCAGCAACAGCAGCAACAGCAGCAGCAGCAGCAGCUCCUCCCCACGACCUGCUGAACCAUCUGCGGAGAUGGAGUCCUUUCUCGCCAACGUGGACAGCGCUCAUCUCAAGGCGCGGCUGAACAAAAUCAUGGCGGAUGUGAACGCUGUUACACCCGACGCGGCGGCCGCCGCCGUUUCCGCGAAAAGCAGCGAAGAGGCGGGCCAGUGCGUUCUCGAGUUCGUGAAAUUUUUUGUGUCAGUGGCGGAGCAACACGGCACCACUCCACACGCCGUCCUCGGCCAACACGUCGUGUCCAAUGUGCUCAUCUUCGUGCUGGAGCGAAUCGUAAAGCCGAACCUCAUGACGUACUGCCGCGUUGCGGAGAAGCACGCUGCGAUCGCCGUGGCUGCCUCUGGUGAUACCACCAGUCCAGCGCGCUGCAGAGCGGCGAAACUCGGAUCCGGAGCCGCCUCCGCGGCCACCGGACGCCGCGACGCACUGGAGGCGCGACGGCGGCGCCUGCGCAGGGAUAUAAUUCGCCCCUUUGCCCAGCUCUUCCAGAGCCUGCACACCUCGCUCGCCGAAGAGGGCGAGCCGCUAAUGACCUGGGCCACGGAGGGUGGCGGCAGAACACUGGGCGCAACUCGGAGAGCCGCUGCCUUGCGCUCAGGCGGAAGGCACGACGAGCUCCUGGGGAGCGCAUCGCCCAGCUAUGCGCCACCCGAAUCUUCUUCGGCGUUCGGAGGCUCUCGAAGGGGCGAACAGCGCGCCGGCGAAUGGAGAGGCCGGGACGACGUCUGGGGCACAGGCGACAGCGCCCACGAGGACGGGCUGCUGAUCAGCGGCGCCAGUGACGCCUUGAGUCAGGCGCCGCUGCUGUGGAAGAGCGCGUCCCCGCUCAACAUUCUGUGCAAUCACAUUCUCGAAGUGCUGGAAAGUCAGUGGCUUGUCGCCGCUGUUGGCGCUGACUACGCGGCGCUUCUCAUCGAGGUGCUUCGGUGGUCCGGCUACGCUCGCCUGAUCACGCCAACGUAUCUGGUGCGCCUUUCAGAGUGUCUUGUCACGCUGAUUCAACGCGUCUCCACGCUGGAGGAGGCUGACACCGACGUGCUGACGGUGGCCCCGAAUCUUGUGGCUCAGGCGGUGGACGACGGGCGACUCUGGGUGGCUGCCCCAUGCGCUGACGACGCGUGUUUGUACGCACAGGUGCUCAUGCGACUCUGCGCACUGCCACAGAUCACCACAGCCUACCCGCCAUCGUCAUCCACGGCGACCGAUGCUGGCAUGCAUGGCGGUGGCGGUGCCGCAGCGGCACUGGCGUUCGUGCGGCGUGUGAUCGAGGUGGUGAAGGCACGACAUCGCGCCCCGACACCGGACUUGCGGCUCGAGGCCUACUGCAUCGCGGCGCUUCGGCGGCUUUGCCAGCGAUUUCGCUACGACCACCCCAUCGCCGCCCGCGCGCCGGUCGAGGUGGUAAAACUUCUGUGUGACUUCUUCUUCCUGCUCCACCACACGCCCCGCCACGAUGUGUGGCGGCUAGAGACGAUGCAGUUCUUGACGGUGGUGCUGUCCGUCGCACUCUCUGACGUUGUGGGCGAGGAGCUGUGGCAGGACUUGCACGCGCACAGCCGCCGCGCCGCAGCUGAUGCGGACGCUGAGGCGGCGAUGGUGUCACCGGACGCACGCGAGAUGGUUCAUAAAGCGAAGAGUAGCGAAAGAGUCGGCCUCGUCGGGCGACGAGGUACAACGGGCGCUGCAACGGCGGCGAACCUGCUGCUGCAGCCGCCGACGAGGCACCUCGUCGUUCUCAUUCACCAAUCCGUGUUUCCGACGAUGCAGCUCAUCUUUACACAGCACCGGCACGAGUACAGCUUCACCUCUCGCCGCGAACUCUUCAGCUUCCCGUGCUCGCCACUGCAGGAAGUGUUCGACUUUGGCGCCGUGGCGCUUUACGUAACGUCCAUUACACACGGCGCCUACUGCCGGUGGAAGGCUGCCCAGGCGAAUCGUUGUGGCGGCAGCGGCACCACGCGCUGUGGCACGGUGGCCGAUCAGGAGAAGGAGGGGGCAGAAGAUGACGAGGACGAAGAGCAGAUGCGGCGCCACGGCGCCGGAACUGAGGCGAGGCGCGCGUGCAAGCGUCUUCGAGACAUCGAGCCAGGCUACGGUGACGUGGUAGAUGGAGUGGCAAGGGACAAGGCUGCUGACGCGUCGGGCGCCGCACGGACUCCACCACCGGCGAGCCCCCAUCCUGCGCAGCUCCUUGCUGACACGCUGCAAGAGGAGUUUUUCAUGCCCGCCGGGCCGCUGGAAAGCAGCGCCACCGCCGGUAGGGCUGCCACUGCCGGGCACGAUGACCAGCAGCGCCCUCUGCAAUCUGCAGCCACUCUGACUCGACGGCGAGCCGGCGGCGCCCCACUCGUGCUCCGCAUCGGCACGUCGAGCAUCCGCACCAGCAGCGCCGCCAUACAGGACGUCGUGUCCGACACUGCGCUUUUUCUGCUGCAUCUCUUUGCCCAGCCGUGCGCAACGCUGCGGGUGCCCGAGACCGUCGCCGACCGCCUUGUCGAGGAUGUACUCCUUCCACUGUGCGGCCACUUUGGGCUUCGGCUGGGGCAGCUGCUCCUUGCGGCUGUGAAGGCGGUGAUUCCGCGCUGCAGUCUUGCGACGCAGCAGUACGCCUUCGCGGUGGUGGCGCAGCGCACUCUGCCGGCUGUGCCGCCGGCGUUAGCGCGCUGGGCGGGCUGUCUGGACAGCGUCAGCAGCAGUCGUGUUCCUGUCGCCAGAAAUGACGAGGACGUGCUAGCUCCGCCAGAGCCGGUCUAUCAUGUGCUGGUCGUCUUGCUGGAACAGCAUCUGCACCGCCGGCACGAGUUGGGGUUAUCGACAGUAACACCAGAUGAUCCCCCGAGGAACGGCCAAUCAGCGGGCGCCGCUGGCAGUGGACAGCCGGAUGUGUCGUCUGGACGUCUGCUCAGCGGCUUUCUGCUUUCCUGGGGUGACCACCACCGCGCUCUCAUCCAGCGCGGCGUGGCGCGACUGCACGCGUUUGAGCAGGACAUGCGUCGCGUGUGCGAGAGUGCAGGGGCGACAGCAGUGCCCGCCGGCGUGGGCGGCGCCCACGACGCGCCUCUCCCGCUGCUUGCCGCCUCGCUGGCACUGUUGCUCACCCGCUUCGCCACGCUGGUGCAGUGCACGCGGCUGUGGGAGAUGACGCUCUGCCCCUCCACCGCCAUGCCGGUGGACCCUGGGACGACGGAAGCGGAGCCGCAGCGGUGCCGCGUCGUGCACGACGACCACACGUGGGGCCUCAGCGACGGUCCCGCGGAAGACGUCGGCCUCAGCUUCUUGUGCCACGUCGCCGCCAACGCCACGCUCUUCCUUGGGUCUGUGCCGGUCCUUACACGUGCAUCGGACGGCGGCAGCCACGCCGGCGACGUCGCCGGUGGCGGAGUACGCGCUGCCAGGCAGGCAAGUGGAAUCGGCACUGAUGCCCUGACAGCCACGAGCGCCUCCCUAGAAACGAGGAACGCGCUGACUGGUGCCGAUGCGGUGGCGCUCUUCUCUGCUGCUCAGUUUACAGCGUGGCUGGACUUAGCGGAGACCUACGCGUGCGUCGCACUGCGGAUGUGUCUCGCGCGCCAGCAGGUGGCGGAGCAGACGGAGAUGGCGACAUCACUGCGACUUGGCCAAGGGCCAGCACUGGGUGGCGUGCCCUCUCUCUCCACGUCAUCGGGGGCCAUGACGCCUCACCUGCGAGGACCCCUUCGCCGUGAGGUGGGGGCGUAUGUCGAACACGUGUGCACGCUGCUCGAUGCGGCGGUGACGUCACCGUCGUCACAGGUGCCGGGAGUGCUGCGUGACGCAGCUGAAGCGCACUGGAUGCUUCGGCUGCCGCUGCGGAAGGGAACGGACCGCACUGAUGUGCAAGACGGCAGUGCCGCUGCGGAGGAGGGGGCGGCGAUGGGCGAGGAUGCGAAGGCAGACACGGACGCGGCUGCGCUCGGAACAGGGGUGUCACCGCUCCAGAUGACAGUGCCUCGCCGAGCAGCGCUACAGGCGUUUCAGGCCAUGUUGGCCUCAAGUGCACAGGCGUCUGUCGCAUGGCUUAUGAGGCGCGCCCAGCUGAGGCACACGCUUGCAGCGUUGGCGCCUGCCGCGGUAUCAAGGCGGGAGGGCAACCGCAGAGGAGGCGGCGGCCCACCCGAUACUCACACCGCUGUGCGGCCGGACUUGGAUGCGUCGGCGAUGGCACUUGCAUUGAGUGUGCAGUGCGUGCAACUUCUGCAUCUUCUGCUGCGGUGGCGCCGCGCUGCACUGUGGUCAACACCGGAGGAAAGCGCGCACGCGCGUGACGGCGUCCAUGCCGCUGGAGAACGCGGCGCUGUCACUCCAGGGGUGGCGAAGGACGCGCCAUUUUUGCGCUCAGCAGCGGAUGGCACACAUGCCAGCGCAGCGAGCGAGCGUGCCGAGGGCGCCGCCGCUGAUUUCGACGUGGGCGAAGAGGCAUCGGCCGCUUGCGAAGAUCUGCGCUUGCUGCGUUCCUCUCCCGAUGUCUACGCGGCUCCUCUCUCUCUGCUGGAGCGCUUCUCGGCCGCUGGCGGCGGCCGCCUCUACUACGCAGUGUUGUGGCUGUGCCAUCACAUCGCGGCAGAGCUCGACCACGCACACGCCGUCGGCGCGUUCUUUCCGCUGUGGACGGCUCUGCAUGUCUUGUUUCGCGAUGUCGGCACGGUACUGCUAGACCCGGCCUUCGCCUGCGCCGAUCCUCGGCACACGAUUGCGCGCUUUACCGCCGCGCUGACCGCGCGGAUCUUCGAGGAUGGCGUGCGCGGGCUCAGCCGGUGGCGCCCCUCUAAUCCGACAUCUCGGGAGGUGACGCACAUUAUGGCGGUAUCGCUGCACAUGUCGGUGGACACGCUGCGCACGGUGCUGUGGGCCGCCUCGCGCACACGCAUCGGUGCCUACCUGGCCGAGCCGCUCGCAGAUACCUCUGCGAUUUGCCGCACCAUUGUGACCAUGCUGCGCGAUCAGCACCUCCUUGAUACGGCUGGUGCAGACUCGUGCCUGACUGGCGACGCUGCUCGAGGGAGCGGCGAAAGCGACGCAGCAGCCGUGGGCGACAUCCUCUUACCGAGCCAUCACCGACUCCUCGAAAGACUUCCUUUUCUGCCGACGAUACUGCUGGCCCUCCCACCUCUUCUGCGCCUCUUGGCACUCAUCGGCUGCUUGCCGCCACCGCCCGCUGAUUCGGACACCGGCGCCGCUGGGGGUUCCAAUGCUGCCGAGCCGUGGUACAAGUUCUGCAGGUGCUCUUUGUGCGCUACCGCUAUCAGCUGGGACCAGGUCUAUGCAGCGGCCUCCUCUGCGGUACCGUCGCUGACAUCAGGUGGCUGGACUUCCGCAGGCAUCCUGCAACCUUGCGGGACGCUGGUGAGCGGGACUCGCAGGGAUGCAGCGAUGCCGCCGCGUUCCUCUACGCGCACGAGGGGCGCCUCUUGGAGCUGUGGACGGCUCAGCUGACGGACCACAGUCGCGUGGACAUGCCAGUGUGCACUCCUGCGUGGCAGUGCGCGCUUCUCCAGGCGGCCUUCGCGGUGCUACCGCGCUGCGAGCCGGCUGUUGCCGAAGUGCUUGGCCGCUUUUCUUUCGAGUUCCUCGCCGAGAAGUCGCCGUAUGAGGUGCGCCACCACGCGGCGCUGCAGGUGGGCACGUUGUUCCGCACUUUCUCUGCACGGCGCACGCAGGUGCUCCACACCCUCCUCACGAAGGCGCGAGAAGGCAUGCUCUCCUCUACCGAAACGCUGUGCUCGACGAGCCUGCUUGCCUUGUCGGAAGCGGUGCGGGCGGCACCGGAGCUGCUGGUGGACGUGCUGUACACCCUCCUCGAGUGCUGGGCAACCCGCGGCUUUAGGCACCAUCGACUUGUGGUGGCGUGUCUUGAGCGGAUGUCGGCGUCGGUGCUGGAGGGCGCCCGCUUGACGGCACCCGCCGGUGGCGCAUCGCUGCCACGCUCGCUACCGUACACCCACCUGUGCCGCAUGCAUGCCCGACCCCUUCUCUUCAAGUGGCUGUGCGAGUACCGUCAUCCUCAUGCGGCGCUGCCGGUGGAGUGCUUUGGCUACCCGACGCAGACCGCGUUCGUCGUGCAGCACCUUGACGUGCUGUCGCCGCUGGCGCUGCUGCUUCUGACGGAAGCUACGGAGGAGCAGUGGUCCCUCGUCGCCACGCGCGGCGGCGGGGGCCGAUGCGACGGCGCCUCAGCAGAGGGCAGCCUCUACGAGAGAUUGGUUUCCGCAUACGCUGAUACCCUCGUGGCGAAGGCCGCGGAAGAAAGCGAACAUGCGGCGGAGGCGUUGGGUGCAGCGAGACGGCGUCGCCGAACGGAGGCAAGUGGCAGUGACGCGACCGCUAAGCAGGACGAGGCCACCGAGGCCGAAUCGCAGACGGAUGCCACUGCCGUGUCUGACGCGGGCGCUCUCCAUCGCCUCGCUCCUCUGUGCAUGCUGCUGGCCUACUUUCCAGGCAUCGUGACGCAGCUCCUCGUCUUCGCGUCUCACGCGCCGGUGUCGCCCUUUGCUGGCGACGCCGGAGGUCUCGCCGAUCUUGGAAAGGCAAGGAACUCCCGCGAGUUUGCCGACUGGCCCCGCCGUAUGGGGCACGCGGACGCUGCGGUCGAGCAUCGCGGCAGUGGCGGAGGCCACUCAAGUCGUGCAAGCGCAUCCGACAUGACGCCAACGUGGGCCUCAGUAGCACAGCGGUGCCUCUACUGGCUCGAGGCGCAGCUCAACACGGCUGAGGCGACGAUGUUGGCGCAAGGCGUUCGCCUGGUCCUCACCGGCCGCCGACACGUGAGCGGCGAGUCGCCGCAGCCAACGUUCAGCGCCGCCGCGGCUCGGGCGGUUCUGUGCCACCCCGCAACUGCGUCCAGCGCCGCGGAAGUGCUGCUCUACUACCUACAGCAUCGAGGUGCGUGGCCGCACAAGCGGCGCGCGUUCGACGUGGUGCUUGCCGCGCAGGCGGACGCCGUGAUGGAGGCCUUGAUAGUGCUUCACCGCACCACUUCCGAGGUAGGAGCGCCCGUCUACGGAACCCCCGAGCAGCUGCAGCGGGCCCUCUCCUGGGUGGCCGAGAAGAUUACUUCCGUGCCGCUGCCAAUGCCUGGUCUACGCGAUCCAAGGACGCGGCAUGCGAGCUCGGCCGAGGGCCGUGGCUCAGCGACUGCUGAAGUGGAGACAACGCAGGGGCUCGUGCCUCGCUGCACUUCAAGUGAUCUAGCACACUGGGAGGCGUAUUGCCUCGCCCUGCUCGUGCCCCCUGCAGCAGCGCCAAACUGUGAGCUCCACUCGCCAGUCACUGACAUGCCGAGUGCCAGGCAAUCUGUCGAUGCUGCAGCCCUCACGGACGACGUCAUGACAAGGUUCUUGCUGCAAGGCAACAGCACCUACCUCUACGCGCUCCUGCACGCGGUAUACCGCAGCAGUGCUGCACUGCCGUCUCUGGAGCUGCAGUUCCGCGCGCUUCAGCAGUUAUCGUUGCUGACGCACAUCGCCACCUGCUGGUGCUCUGCUCGUGUCCUCACGGAGCCGCAUGCACUUCGGCUGGUGCUCUCACACCUUCUUCAUUGGCUGCGACGCUCCCCUGCGGCGGCGGUGCGGCGACUUGUCUGCGACGCGCUGCUGCAUGUCUGGCAGGUUGCUAGAGCCGGCCGCGGUAACGCCCCGCGCCACAGAGGCUGGGGGACCACUCCAGCUACCCAGCGGCGCCACUGCCGACUUAUGGUGGCGCGCAGCCUGGCACCAUUGACGGCAGUGUCGCCGCUAAUCUCCUCGACGUGGGCGGCGCUGUGCCGCAUCGACCCGGACCUGAGGCGAUCGGCUUGGCAGCAACGGGUUCUUGCCUACCUUGCUGACACAGAGAGCAGGCGUGCGACACGGAUAGGUGCGGAGACAGCUGCGGAAGGUAAGGAACGGGUGCUUGCGCGUGGCGCCAUCAGCAUCGAUGAGCCCACGGACGACGAGGCGGAGAGAAAUGAGGAAGGUGCGGCGAGCGAUGGAGCGCCUGGAGCGUCUGCCGGUGCCGGCGCCGCCGAAUCCGAAGCCGUCUCCGGCGGCUGCUCCCUUCCGCUCGAUGGGGAGCAGUGGACGUGGUCCAUGUACGAGGCUCAACGAUCCGCGUGUUUGGCACCACUAUCCAACCCGCGUGCACGCGGGCACCUCUUGGGACUCCAACGGCUUCUUCGAUACGUCUCGGGGCACGACGAGGAGGACAGCGACGAGGCGCUCGAGGGCGUCCCCGGCACCGUGGAGGAACACGGAAGCAACGCCGACAUGGACGAGCUCGUGCCACCGGAGAGUUGUGCUGUUUCCAUGCAGCUUAUAGUCGAGCACACGAGCGCCGCACCUCUUCCCUCUGCUCCGCUGCUCCAGGACAUCACCGUGGCUGUGGACUCCGCUCAGGCGCUACUCGUGCGGUGUCUUCAUGUCGCGUCCGUGUGCCUUCGCGCAGGCCAUGCACCGCCGGUCGCGGCAGGGCCUACGGCACACCGUCGCUCUCGCGUGCGAACGGGCGGCUCGCUUCGACCGGCGGAGUUGUCAGCGCUUGACGUGCGUGCUGUCCUGCUGGACACCAUUCAGCACCUCUAUCGCCUGUGCCACUGCAACAUGGCGGCCCUCCCAACGGAAUACGCGGACGCAGCAGACCAAUUUCGACCUCUUUUACCGGGGUAUGUAGCCGGCGAGGACGUGCACGGUGUCCAUACGACACGCCUGCAGAUGCUGUCCGCGGACUCGGCAGAUGAGCAGCUGCUCGCCGCCUUUCGACUACUUCGCGCGCUCGCGCUCUGCGUCGUGUUGAGCGGAGAGGCAGCCACGCUUCCUCACUGCGCGGCGGCCGUAUCAAGCGCCCCAUCAGGAAUGGGGUCUGGAUCGGAAUGGCUGCGACAUGAAGCGCAACGCAGCGGCUCGUCCGCCAGCACGCUCCUUGCGGCGAGCGAGUCGGCGCUAACAGACGACGGCUUGCCAAGCAACCAAACUGCGGAAGGGAUCGUUGCGGGAAUGCUCGCGCAAGCGUACGCGCAUCAGCUGCGCACGCUCGAGCAACUCGUCUGGUGCGGUGAUGCAGACGCCUCGGAGCUGGGCAUGUGCGCGCUGCGUGCGUGGGUGCUGUGCAUCGCGUCGGGCCCGGACGGGGCGGACGGGGCGGAGCCGCCGAGGCCGGCAGAGCCGCCGUCGUGCUUUGACGAGGCCGUUGCACAGCUCGUGGCGAGCGCGUGGCGGCAGCAGCUCACCGGGCCAUCCGCCGCCGCCGCCGCCGGCGAGCUUGUCGGGGCGAGUGGCGGUGACCAGAUGCCGUCUCCGAAAGCACGCGUGUGCUACUGCCUUCAACGGCGUCUUUCGUGGGUGACGCGUAGCGGCAGCUGCGGCUCACGUUCAUGUCGACAGCGUGCCACCUUCGGCACGCGAGGCGCCGCCGCCGACACCCAUCUCAGGAGCCCGUCUGUGUGGGCACCGCUACGGCAGUGUCCACCGAACCAGCGCGCGUUUCUCUGCCGCUUCGUGCUGGCCGCUGCCAAUACCUACGGUAUGCUGAAGAAGAGUCUACUGUGGGCCGCACUGGUGCCUCUGCUGAUGGCGGAGUUGAGGACUGCUGAGGGCCCUACAGCGGUGCCAACAUCAUCGGCUGGAUCACCUGCCUGCGACCUUGAUGGCGUGCACGCGGCAUGCGACAGCGCAGGCAGCGAUGUGCGCAUUGCGGAGCAGCUGCUUCUCCCUGUGCUGCUGCAUGCACUGUGCCUGCGCGAGAGCGAAGGGCAGCGCGUAGCGCGACAGGAGUGGAGUAGACAGCUGGAUCGGUACGUCUUUCAGCAGGCGGAGCGCUGCGCGCACACUGCACGUCUUUUUCUCCAUGUCCUUGAGCAGUGCCAUGCGGUCCUGCUUCGGUCCACGCGCCAGCGCGGCCUCAAGGGAGCAACGGCGGCGUCGGCUGGCCGCGCCAAAGCGACCUCGUCUUUCUCUGCAGCAGCAGCUGCUGCUGCAGGCGACGGCGCACGGGCCGAGGUGGCUCCAUGGCCAUCGAUCCUCGGUUCUGUGCCAUCCUUGCAGGACAUGGGCGAGUGCUACUGGCUCAGCGACAUCCCCGCCGCGCGCCUUGCUCGUGCCGCGGUGCGAGUAGGCGAGCCGCACCUCGCCCUCCUGUUCUCCCAACUCAGCGGCGAGUCGCUUUACGGGCCACGCACAGGCGCUGCGGCGCUCUGCGGGGAGUCGGAAACGACGCUGUCGGCUGUGAUGCUUCGCGAUGGUGCCGGCGCCGGAGAAGCGGUGCUAGCCAUGUCAAGCACACCCUACUCGAUACUGUUUCCGUUUGCCAGGCCGGGCGACUACCCCUCCGCCGCAUCCGUGACGCACACAGUCGGUGCUGGCGCAACCCGCAGCGGUGGCCGCGCCCGCGACCGCCACGACGCUGUACGGCGGCAGACUCGGUCGUUUGCGGAGGACAUCUUCGACUUGUACGCGUCGGUGCAGGGACAGUUGGAGCUGGAUGAUGUCGUGGGGGUGUCGCUCAUGAUGCGGCUGCAGUCCGUCACGAGCGCUCAACCGCACGGCGACGGUGCGAAGUGGUGUUCCUGGGUGGGCAGCGGAUCUGCCCUCAGCGCGAGCCUCCUCGGCUCGGCACGUGGCCGGUCCAGUGGUCGUGCCAUUCGCCGAGUCGCGGGAUACCGCGAAAGUGGCGUCACGCCCACAACGUCGGUCGCCAGCGGGGCGGACGACAGUCUAGCUGCUGCACCUUCCGCCACGGCUGCCUGGCUGGACGAGAUGCGCCUCUUGGAGGAGAGCGAGACCCAUCAUGCCAGCGGCAGGCUGUGGGGCAGUGACGUGCCACGUGCUAGUGCGGCGGCUGAUAGCGGACUCGGCGGUGCAACUGUCGAAGUUGCAAGACCCAGUGUCGCGCUGACGGGUGAGGUGCAGGAGCGGCGGCCCGACCCAUGGGCCGCACACUUACAGCGUGCGGCGCUUCUCCUCCAGCACGGCUUCCCCUCCACGGCGUUGGACGUUUUAUUGAGUCUGCAACCGGCCGAGCGGCGAUGGGAAGCCGCGCUGCGGCAUCGCAGCGACAGUGGCGCUGCGGAAAGCGGCGUCGCGGACGACUCCGUACGUGCUUGCAGUGCCCCAGGGCGCGCGGCCGGCAGGGGCACAACGGAACUGGGGCCGGAGGUGUUCUUGACAGGUGCGGCCGGCGAAGCGAUCGACGCUGCUGCUGGCAACACCGAUAUGUUGUCGUCGUGGACGCCCGCACACGAGGCAUCGCUACAGGCCUUGCUCGCUGAGGCCGCCUGGAAGUGCGGGCGGUGGUCCUGUGGCGGUGGCGUCGCUGGCGACUGCCCCGGAAGCUGUUCAUCCGAGUGCGUGCCCCGCGCAGUACUAGACCGUCUUUCGCUACGCGGGAACACGGCGACACCAGAAUCCUGUGGCGCGUCGUUGAUGCCCGCGUCAGCGGGGAGGUUUUACGUUCACCUUCUCAGCGCUUUUAUUACUCUCACAAAUGGGCAGCCGCUGCUGAGCAUGCAGCACGUGCGCCGCGCCGAGUCGGCCCUUCGUCAGCAACUGUCUCCUACUACCUUCGUGACGACCGUCAUGGCGGCAGAGGCGCUCCAUGAAGUGCGUGACUGCGCGGCGCGCUUCUUAGCAGCCGAUGCAGCCGCGAGGAAGGGCAAAGCAGGGAAACCAUCGCGCGGCCGCGGUGCCGCGCCGAAGUGGAAGCAAGGCGACCGAGUAGUCGAGCUGCCCACGUGGCUUCGGAGCCUGCGUGGCGACUCGGUAGCGCGAGGAUCAGGCUUGGACGCUGCCGAGUUGCCGACUGCGCGGGUGCCGAGCACUGUCGACUACGCCUCCAGGGAGCUGCUCGACUCCGUACGCCAUGCGCUGUGCCAGGUCUACGGCGACCGCGAAGGCUGGUACCGAUUUGUGCUCGGGGCGACAGAGCAGGCGCUGCUGAAUCGAGAUGCGGCCGCGGCGCACCGUUGGCUGCGUGACUGGAAAGAGCAGCACGCGGAAGGCACGGGCGGCGAAGGUGAGCAGGCAUCGCCGUCGCCGGCGAUCGUUGGUACUGUCGCGGCAGAGGUGCGAGAACGCGCGCGACAACUGGACCUGGUACUCCGCACGGCACAGGUUGCCUACGGCCUCGGCAGAUGGCAGGAGGCCCUAGCGCUUCUUCAGCCGGCCGCCGCGGCGGCACGCGGGGAGGCAAGCCUCGCCCACUGUAAUGUCGCCCCACCGCGUACCGCACCUUGGCAUGCCCCACAGGAGCCGCGUGUGAUCCAGCAGCUGAUGGUGUGGCACGGGGAACUCCGGCUGCUGCCGCCCUCGCAGCUUGUACGUGAUCCGUUUCUCUCGCGCGCGGCGGCUUCUGACAGCAGCGGCGCCUGCAGCUUCCUGUUAGCGCGUCUGUGCCACACACUCGCCGACGACAUCGCUGCGCGAUUGACAAGCCACGAGCAUCAGCAGCUCUGCGAGAGCGUGGAGGAGUCGAAGCGGCUCAAGGAGGACCUGGAAGCGCAGCUGGAGGCGGCGACGCGGCCGAGCACGGGACGGGCUGCCGCACCACUUCACCGCCCGCCCGGUGUGGCGGAGCUCGAUGCGACGACGGGAGCCACGACUACGGCGGUGCUGCCCACACUGGUGAACAUUGCUGGCGUGGCACCUCUGAGAGAAGCGCGCGGUCGCUCUGCCGUCGCUGAUGCGGCAGCGGGAGCGGCUGCUGGGGCCGCGCCAACCGUGAUCCUCAGCGAAGACCAACUGCGCGUCAUACGGCGACGUAUUCGUGAGCUUGCUGGCGACAUCAAGCGCCUUGAAGACGAGUGGCAGAGUGAGAAGUCCAAUUUUGGGCUGUACCGCCGCAGCGCCAUCAACGCCUACUCGCGUUUUCUGCAGUUUAACCAAGUGGCGCAGCAGGGCGCAGCUCGCGGCGUCACCGAGCGCACCCAUCGAGGCGCGGCCGCUCUGUCGGAGGUGAAGUGCCUGCCAGUGGACCACGAGGAAGACGUUGUGCAUGCCGUCUUCGGGUUUGUGGAGCUCUGGGUGAACGCCGCCGACAUGGAGCAGGGCGGCGGCGAGGUACUGAGCAAAGUACUCGACAAGGCCGUCGAGCGAAUUCCGACGGCCGUCUUUGUGCCGCUGGCGGGGCAGCUGACGGCGCAGUUAGGUGGCCAGCACGAGGGCGAGCGGCUGGCUUUCCUUGUUGCCCGGCUCGCACGGGACUACCCGAUGCACGUUGUGUGGCCGCUGCUAGCCCUCUACCACGGCCACACGUUCGCCAAAUCGCGAGAUGUCAACACGCUGCACAACGUGGACGAGGCGAAGAUCACGGCGGCGCGUCAGCUCCUCGCCGGACUGGCCUCCGCACAGAGCACCGCGAACGCUUCAAGUCGCGCUGGCCACAGCGCCUCGACCGCCGCACUACUGUCGACCCAGAUCCGGCAUGCACAGCUGCUGAGCUCGGCAUACCUGGAGCUUGCGUUUGACCGCAGUGCCGCCACGGCGCAGGUGGGGAAGCGCCACGCGAUUUGCAAAGACUUCAUGCUGAUCAAGGACGCGUGUAAUCUUGCCAUCCCCCCGCCCAGCUCCGUGGAUCCCUUCGUUACACCGGCCGUCGCUGGAGGGGCCGCGCUCGCGGUGCCGCAUGUGAUGCGGUACCGCAACUACUUCACGACGCCUGGUGGUGUGAACGUGCCAAAGGUGCUGCAGUGCGAGCUGAGCGAUGGCACGGUCGUCCGGCAGCUGCUGAAGGCUGGCGACGACCUGAGGCAGGACGCGCUCAUUGAGCAGGUGUUUGCCACCGCGAAUCGUCUGUUUCGUCGACGCUCCGCGACGCGGCCGCUGCAGAUUCGCACCUUCACGAUUGUGCCGCUGGCUCCGACGGCCGGCAUCCUGCAGUGGGUGGAACACACCAUCCCACUCGGCGAGUACCUGACGGGCCGCUAUACCGGCAAGGAGGAAACGCCCGGCGCUCAUGAGCGGUACUUCCCGGGCGAGCCGAACACGCGGGAGUGCCGAAUCCAGCUGCAGAACGCGCCGCAUAGCCGCAAAUGCCAGGUGCUCUUGAGCCUGUACGCGCAGUUCACACCUGCCCUGCACUACUUUUUCUUGGAGGAGUACCUGUCCGCCCAGGUGUGGGUGGAUCGGCAGCAAACCUUCACCCGCAGCGUUGCAGCGUCGAGCAUCGUCGGCUACACUGUCGGGCUGGGCGAUCGGCACAUCAACAACAUACUCCUGCACAAGGGAACGGCGGAAGUGGUGCACAUUGAUCUCGGCAUCGCCUUCGAUCAAAACAAGCUGCUGCCUGUACCGGAGCUUGUUCCGUUUCGGCUCACACGCAACAUGAUCGAUGGCCUCGGUGUGCGUGGCACGGAGGGAAGCCUGCGCCCGUGUGCGGAGGCAGCGAUGCACUUGCUGCGCGGCAAGCGCGAGCUGAUUCGCACGAUAUUGAGCUCCAUCAUGCACGAUCCCUUGGCGCGCUGGGCCAUCGGCUCGCCAACGCACGCGAAUCACAUAAUGGGCGCCGACACCAGCGUCACCGGCGCUGGUGCCGUGCCGCAGGAGAGUAACACACGGCAGCCUGCGCCGGUGCGCACGCACGGCAGCAGCGCCGACGCCGCCCGCACACUUGCCCGCAUCGACGCGAAGCUGCGCGGCUACGACGGUGGCGACAUGCUUAGCGUGCCAACGCACGUGCGCAAGCUGAUGGAGGAUGCGCAGCGGGUGGAAAGCUUGGCCGUGAUGUUUCCGGGCUGGUCGCAGUGGGUGUAGGAUGGAGCGGGAUGGAUAAGGCGGUGGCGGACUUUGAAAGGAAGGUGCCGGGUGCCGGUCGCACGGGACUUGGGACACGCCCUUCUCUCCGUCUUCGUCGCUGUGGUGACGUGCGUUUCUCUGUUUUGCGGUGAUCGAGUGCACGAGCGGGCGAGCGCCUCUGUGGCGGUCUGGGAGAGCGCUAUGCUUUACAGAGUUGUCCGUGUAGAGCUUGUCUGCGGGGAAGGGGGGAAGGUAGUGCCUCUCGCUCUCUCGCUGGUGGUGGUGGUGGUGAAAGCCCCGCUGCGUUGAUGUGCCGCACGAGCUUUACGGAAUCUGAAGGAACAAGGAAAAGAGGACACUUAAAGGCUCUUCAGCCAGUCUGCUUUUGUGCCUUCACGAG
RNAcentral lists this unclassified non-coding RNA (15633 nucleotides) under Leishmania donovani. RNAcentral's name for it is "gene:LdHU3.02.0180(CDS-product:phosphatidylinosit ol_kinase_related_protein_putative)". The record is from RNAcentral. Lineage: Eukaryota; Euglenozoa; Kinetoplastea; Trypanosomatida; Trypanosomatidae.